AGAAUGAGUAACUUGAGAAGAAGCAAUGGUAGUCGAUUUAGGCUGAACUUGGUUCUGAUUAAAGUAAUACAAUCCUCCAUUGAGCUUACCCAAACCAAUCAUCUUCAAGUUCUUCUUUUCCUGUAUCAAACAUUUAUCAUUAUCAAAAGACACAAGGAAAUGGUUAUCAAGGCAAAGUUUAGGAACGGAGAUCAAAUUCAAAUUGAAGUCAGGCACCAAAAGCACAUGUGAAAUGGUGAAAAUCGAAGAAAAUUUCACCGAACCAGAAUAAUUUGAAAUGGAAACCUGUCCAUUAGGCAACUUAACACUGAUUGGUUUGAUAGAUUUGUAGGAGCUGAAGUAAUCGAAAGAAGAGAAAAUAUGAUCACUUGCACCUGAGUCAAUAAUCCAUUGACCAGGACUACUGUGCAAAGUGCAAACUAAGUUACCUGAAGUAACAUGUCCACUAGCAAUAUUGACUUGAGUGGAGGAAGAUGCUUGAUUACCAGCAUUAUAAGAAGAACCUUGAU
This 509-nucleotide long non-coding RNA is filed under the name Trifolium pratense (red clover). RNAcentral describes it as "long non-coding RNA (TPRA_LNC000623)". The record is from RNAcentral. Lineage: Eukaryota; Viridiplantae; Streptophyta; Magnoliopsida; Fabales; Fabaceae.